Long non-coding RNA from Bos taurus (domestic cattle), 5013 nucleotides. NCBI's taxonomy places the organism in Eukaryota, Metazoa, Chordata, Mammalia, Artiodactyla, Bovidae. The record is from Ensembl.
CCAAAAGUAGAAUUCCUUCACUGCUGCUGGUGAGCAGCUAAAGAGUAACUGUGGAGCGGCUUCUAGUGUGAUUGUGGAGCCGAGUGCCUGCCUUCCCUUUCAGCCCCCCACUUCCCUGGACCUCUUACUGCAUCUGGAGGGCCUUCUCCUUGGGCUCCCUAAAGGCAUGCACAGUCCUGGGUGUGGGCGGCGGCAGCUGGCUCGUGGGAGGUGAUGGGAGGCAAGCCGCCACCUCGCUGCAGGACCAGCUUGACAGCUGAGCUUUAAGGAGAGGAAGACAAUGUAUCUUGUGUGUGUCCACCAAAAAGGCAAAAGGAGGGUAGGGUAUUUAUAUAAAACAGCAAAAAAACCUUUGGAACCCUUAAAGAAAUCACAUACCUUUUAAAGGUAGCAGAGUUUUCACCAAGUGAUGCAUUCAGCUAUGGCACGUCUCGCCAGAAAUCUUGGGCUGAGUUAAAAGAUAAUGUGUUUAAAACACCACCUCCUUUUAAAAUUUUGCCCAAGGAGUUAAUUUCCUAAGUGUAGUAUUUCUGAAUGUGCCUUUGUGAGUUCAGAGACCGUCUGUUUUAGGAAGAACCUACCCAUUGGGAUAAAACAGACGGUCCCCUUAGUCUGUAGGAAAGUCAGCAUUUCUCUGGGCCGCUGCCAUGGCAGCCGUGGGUUUUCAGUUGCCUCAGUGUUGCAUACUGCAGUCACGGGGAAGAAGUUCGGGGACUUGGGACAGGGAACGAGGAGGUGAUGGUGCACAGAUGACAGACACUGGCUUAGUCCAGGAGUGCAAGUUGAACGUCUCUCAGCAUUGCCUAGUCUUCUCCGUGUAUAUGUGCGUGCGUGGCUGUGGCUGUCUUAGUUUUUGUUUUUCUGUAAGCACUGGAGAAUUGAAAUCUGGUAACACGGAUUUGUGACACAUCUGUGCACGUCGAGCAGGCAUUUUCUUGCUCCUGCCGCGCACAGAGCAGGCAGUGCGUGGCCACCCUUUGAGUCUGUGUCCUGAGAAGGCAAUUCUUUUCCCAAAUGGAAGUCACAUAAUGUUGCUGUUUGUGCGAACAGGGUAUAUUACACACAAGGAAAAGGCUUUUGAAAGGAUGAGUUGGACAUGUUUGAGAAAGAAAAGCGAAAAAUCAGAAACCAUGUUUUAUUUCUUCAGAACCAUUGUAGUUCAACAUUAGAAAUCCGCAGUGUCUCCUCCUUUGUUUCACGUUUGUUUUAAACGAUUCCGCCUCUUCUCCCCACUCCCUCCUAAAGAGAUAUCAAGUGAAUGCUAAGGGCCAUUUCCAUAAUUCCUCAGAACUCCCCAAAGGGGAAAGCAAUCCCUCGCAAGAUUCCUCCAGCUUCAUUCAGGAAGACCUGGGGCGAUGCUUCUGUGCUAGCUCCGUCCUCUCUCAUGGCCUUGAAAUGUAUUAUUAUGCAAAUGUGAAUUUUGAUACUGAAUUUAAGAAGAGGUUGUUGGAUUUUUUUUUUCUUUUCAAAAAAAAGAAGGGGGUCCGAUAUGUGGUCAUCAUUGCUUAUUUUGUAACGUGAAUUGUAACUAUGCAUUCUGCAAAGGGAGGGUGGGGGAGAGGGCAGAAAGGGGACGGAAGUAGCUUUGCAUCCUUGUUCUACGGUUUCUGUGUCCAUGGUGUGCCCCCCAUGCUGGCAGGGAAGGGGAGUGAGAGCGAGAAGCCAAGCCGUAAGGUCCGCACAGUGAGGUAUACAGGGCCCUGUGAGCCUCGGCCCGGCACUUCCUGGGGUUGGGAGUUGGGGGGCGCCAUUCCUACCAACCGUUGUGGUCCAGGAUCUCCAUCCUAGCUGUGCAGUGUUAGUUAGCCUGGUGCAGCAUGAGGCCCCUGAAGGCCCCCCCACCCUGCCCCACUGCUCUUUUCUCUGGAAAAAAGUUCUCACCCUUUGCUGAAUUCAGAACCCUUGCAAGCUCAGGAAACCAUGCCUCACUUGUGCUGACCUUAAUCUUUAUGUCAAUUUCAGAAACCUCCUCCUCCUCGCUCCGUUUUAAUUUUUCUUCUUUGAUGUUUUUAAGUGAAUUUAAUUGUAAGGCAACUCUCUGGAGAAGAGGACGGUUGCUUGACAGGCCAACGGGGCUUCUCUUUCCCACCCCUCCUGCUCCGCCAUAUUGACAUUUCUGCCGCCCUUGCAGUUGUUACACUGUGUGUAGCUAGUGAGCAGGGAGGUGUUUGAAAGCCUGCAGCCUCCUUUUGGUCCUGACAGCAUCCCUCCAUCGAUCUUGCCUGCAGUGAGUCGUGGCCUCUGCAUUGCUCUGGUGUAGGCAUUUUUGGCAACACACAGUGUCCUAAUAAAGCAAGCAACAGUGUUUCCAUGCAGCGCUUUUGCUGUCAACAUUCACAGUACUGUAACAAGUAACAGACUUGAUCAGUCUCCUCGUGCCCCUGCGAGCCUGCACAGGCACGGUCUUAUCAGGGUUCCAAUCUAUUAGAUUGCCUUUAGACAAAAAAACAAACACACACAAAAAGCAGAAUUCUGAUGUUUCAGCUAACACAAAACAAUACCUCCAGGUCCACUUCCCCUGCAGCGUAGACCUUUUAACUCCCCUUCUUUUCUGGCCACCAAUGGGUUAUCCUUGGAAAAAUAUGAACGUGUAAAUAGGAGGAUAACUUUUGCAAUGUUUUCUUUGCUGUGAAAGUAACCCUAAAAUAUGAUAUUUUCCACAUUUUUUUUUUAAGCCAUAGGAAGUUUCAGCUCUUUUUCUUUCACGUUUAAGAAGAGCAGAACAGGUCAGGGGAGUGGACUUGGCGUUUGUGGGGUGGUGGUCUCUCUAUCACCUUCCACACACAAUGACGGCAGACCAGUGUUUAAACCCUGUUUGAAAUAGAGGCCAUCUAUUUCAGCUCUGGGUCCAGGGUGGGGAGUGUCUGGAUUGCUCUCUUCUGGAAGAUCUGUCACCUCCAGGGACUCCAGAACAUUUUCUCCCUGAGACCUUGAGCUCUCAACCUUCCUUGGUUCAAACACACACAUACACACUUUGAGUAACUGUAGAUCAUAAAGAGAAUCAGUCCCUGGCAUUUCAAUUUUGUGCUGUAGAAUUCAUAGCCUUGUCACUGUGAUGCUCUGGAAAUUAGUUGAUUUCUUAUUUGGAAAGAAACUCCUCUGAGACAUGCGGACAGCCUUCCUGAAAGGCGCUCGCACCCUCAGAUUGUUCUCUCUCCACAAGGCUUGAAGCUGAUAUUAGGUGGAGGGAAACAAGUUUAAACAAGGGCUGCUUUUAAGGAUCUGUCAGCUAUUGCGCUUCUAGAUUUGGCCGCUCACGAGGCAGGAUCAGAAUAGAUCGUUAGAGAUAGCUUCUUCACAGCCUCCCUAGCUUCCCCCAUCUUAAACAUAAACCCUGUAUCUGUCAAGAAGCCCGUUGUAGGUUGGGCUCCCUGAUCUUUGUCUAGUGACGACUUCCUUUGAGGGGAAGAAACUUGAUAAUAAAUGCACACAUAUUCACCACCCACCUUCUGAUUUGGGCGCUGUCAACUUGCGGAUUUUAUUUCUCUGUGUGAUGGCCCCUUUUCUGUUUCCUCUUCUGGUCCCUCCUGAGGUUUUCCUGCCCUUAUGUCCCUAGGGGGCGCUCCCGAAGGGCUCUGCUGAUCUCUGCACUUCUAUCCUGGGACACAUCCCCCACCACCCUUUGCACACACAACAGUGACCAAAGUGUGUCCAGUGAUCUCACAGAAGACAUCAAAAAUGGUGCAUGCACCGUGAAUGUGCUCACAGAGACACGUGCACAAGAUUCUGCACCCUUGGCCUUAACCUUAGUAUGACUUUAGGUGCAGGAACAUUUUUAACAGGUUUAAAAAAAAAAAAAACAAACCUUUCUGGGAGGAAAAAAAAAAGAAACAGCUCAACUGUGCCCACUCCUAAGUCUCCCAUCAUUUGCUUACAACUUACUCCGUGCCCACCCCACCCCCUCCCUGUUUCGAGUAACUAAAACCAGACAAAGAGAAGCAACCUGAGGAGAGGUGGGAAAGCACCACCUGGUGACUCGGGUGGUGCUGCCCCUCAGUGCCCCCUCCUCCCCCGCUUCUCUCCUUGCCCCCUUUCACAGAUGGUGCAGAGAAGGGCAUCAGAAAGAGGCUGGAUCUUUAAAAGGCAGCUUUCCAACUUUGCACACAAACAGGUAACAGGAAGGUACAGCAAAAACCCUCUCAUCUGAAACACUGUCCACAGAAACAAAACCUGUAAACGUGACUAAAUGGCUGCACAAUUUUGAUGCUCUCUGCAAGUUACCUAGAAGUGUUUUGUUUUUUUCUUAUACUUGAAAUAGCUUUUACAAUAUUAUUUUGAUGGCUUUCUUUUCUCUCUUCUGGUGGGCGAUAGAGAAAGUGGAUGAUGGGAUUUAAGCAAGUUUGAGGGGAGAAAAGGGAGGAUAUGGCAUUGUCUUUUUUUUUUUUCCCUUAAAUAUAGAGGUUUAAUCAGACUCCCAUCUGUUGAAAUUGCUCCUCAUAUGACUGGUUUUACAUGGACACAGAAACUAGGCACUUUAGAGGUGCACUUGCAUGGCAGGCUGGGCCCCCCUUUUCUAUAUUUUAUUUUACUUUUUUAGUAUAGUGGUACUUAAAAUCACUGGUUCACUUAAAAAACAAACAAUAAAAUGUUAAACUCUACUAAUGUACAAAUAAGCUGAAAAGUUGCAUUUUAUGUGUAUUUUUUGCCAUAGCAGGUACUGUAUUUCUCAUGCUGGAUUUCAAAAAAAAAAAAAGUCAAAAACAAAAAAAACUAAAGGGUGGUCUUUUAUUGGAUUGUGACAGGUUGAGUAAUAAGGAAUUAAGUCGUCGUCAUUUCAUUAAAACUGAGAGAUGAUGUAAUGCAUAUAUAAGAGUUUUCUGAAGGGUUUUUUUUUUUGGGCUUUUAAACAGCUUAUUUUUGUUUUUGUUUAGUUUUUUAUUUUAUUUUAUUUUGGAAAGAUAUGAUUGUAUUAUGUGCAACUCAGUUGCUUACAUUAUAACUACAAAAUAUUUUUGGGUUCCUGGAAAAAAAAAAAAAGAAAAAAGACUAAUAAAUGUGUUUGGCUGCUAAGCA